CCUACGGGUGGCAGCAGUGAGGAAUAUUGGUCAAUGGCCGAGAGGCUGAACCAGCCAAGUCGCGUGAGGGAAGACGGCCCUACGGGUUGUAAACCUCUUUUGUCGGGGAGCAAAGCGAACCACGUGUGGUUCAUUGAGAGUACCCGAAGAAAAAGCAUCGGCUAACUCCGUGCCAGCAGCCGCGGUAAUACGGAGGAUGCGAGCGUUAUCCGGAAUCAUUGGGCGUAAAGAGUUCGUAGGCGGUAUGUUAAGUCUGGUGUUAAAUGCAGAAGCUCAACUUCUGUUCGGCACUGGAUACUGGCAAACUAGAAUGCGGUAGAGGUAAAGGGAAUUCCUGGUGUAGCGGUGAAAUGCUUAGAUAUCAGGAGGAACAUCGGUGGCGUAAGCGCUUUACUGGGCCGUAAUUGACGCUGAGGAACGAAAGCCAGGGUAGCAAAUGGGAUUAGAUACCCGGGUAGUC
Molecule: ribosomal RNA, 460 nt
Filed under: uncultured bacterium
Lineage: Bacteria
Description: partial 16S ribosomal RNA
Rfam family: Bacterial small subunit ribosomal RNA
Source: RNAcentral